This 324-nucleotide ribosomal RNA is filed under the name uncultured bacterium. RNAcentral describes it as "bacterial SSU rRNA". It matches the Rfam family "Bacterial small subunit ribosomal RNA", at positions 28 to 334 of the family's 1533-position model. The record is from RNAcentral.
GAUGAACGCUGGCGGCGUGCUUAAUACAUGCAAGUCGAGCGAAGCACUUUAACGGAAUUCUCCGGAAGGAAGGUAAAGUGACUGAGCGGGCGACGGGUGAGGUAACGCGUGGUAACCUGCCUUAUACAGGGGGAUAACAGUUAGAAAUGGCUGCUAAUACCGCAUAAGCGCACAGGGCCGCAUGGCCCGGUGUGAAAAACUCCGGUGGUAUAAGAUGGACCCGCGUCUGAUUAGCUGGUUGGUGGGGUAACGGCCCACCAAGGCGACGAUCAGUAGCCGGCCUGAGAGGGUGAACGGCCACAUUGGGACUGAGACACGGCCCAG